GAUGAAGAACGUAGCGAAAUGCGAUAAGUAAUGUGAAUUGCAGAAUUCAGUGAAUCAUCGAAUCUUUGAACGCACAUUGCGCCCGCCAGUAUUCUGGCGGGCAUGCUUGUUCGAGCGUCAUUUCAACCAUCAAGCCCUGCUUGCGUUGGGGUCCUGCGGCUGCCCGCAGGCCCUGAAAACCAGUGGCGGGCUCGCUAGUCACACCGAGCGCAGUAAUACAUCUCGCUUUGGGCGUGCGGCGGGUUCUUGCCGUUAAACACCCCCUUUUUACCAAGGUUGACCUCGGAUCAGGUAGGAAUACCCGCUGAACUUAAGCAUAUCAAUAAGCGGAGGA
RNAcentral lists this unclassified non-coding RNA (334 nucleotides) under soil metagenome. RNAcentral's name for it is "partial contains 5.8S ribosomal RNA, internal transcribed spacer 2, and large subunit ribosomal RNA". The stretch from base 1 to 120 matches the Rfam family "5.8S ribosomal RNA", at positions 35 to 154 of the family's 154-position model. The record is from RNAcentral.